UGGGGAAUAUUGCGCAAUGGGCGAAAGCCUGACGCAGCGACGCCGCGUGAGGGAUGAAGGUUUUCGGAUCGUAAACCUCUGUCAGAAGGGAAGAAACUACGUUGUGCUAAUCAGCAGCGUACUGACGGUACCUCAAAGGAAGC
This 143-nucleotide ribosomal RNA is filed under the name uncultured Pseudomonadota bacterium. Its description in RNAcentral is "uncultured proteobacterium partial 16S rRNA". It matches the Rfam family "Bacterial small subunit ribosomal RNA", at positions 355 to 491 of the family's 1533-position model. The record is from RNAcentral. Lineage: Bacteria; Pseudomonadati; Pseudomonadota.